AUUGAACGCUGGCGGCAUGCUUUACACAUGCAAGUCGAACGGCAGCGCGGGCUUCGGCCUGGCGGCGAGUGGCGAACGGGUGAGUAAUGCAUCGGAACGUGCCCAGUAGUGGGGGAUAGCCCGGCGAAAGCCGGAUUAAUACCGCAUACGACCUGAGGGUGAAAGCGGGGGACCGAAAGGCCUCGCGCUAUUGGAGCGGCCGAUGUCGGAUUAGCUAGUUGGUGGGGUAAAGGCUUACCAAGGCGACGAUCCGUAGCUGGUCUGAGAGGACGACCAGCCACACUGGGACUGAGACACGGCCCAGACUCCUACGGGAGGCAGCAGUGGGGAAUUUUGGACAAUGGGGGCAACCCUGAUCCAGCCAUGCCGCGUGCGGGAAGAAGGCCUUCGGGUUGUAAACCGCUUUUGUUCGGGAAGAAAUCCUCUGGGCUAAUACCCCGGGGGGAUGACGGUACCGUAAGAAUAAGCACCGGCUAACUACGUG
This 484-nucleotide ribosomal RNA is filed under the name uncultured bacterium. Its description in RNAcentral is "partial 16S ribosomal RNA". It matches the Rfam family "Bacterial small subunit ribosomal RNA", at positions 28 to 507 of the family's 1533-position model. The record is from RNAcentral.